UACGUAGGGUGCGAGCGUUAAUCGGAAUUACUGGGCGUAAAGCGUGCGCAGGCGGUUCUAUAAGACAGAUGUGAAAUCCCCGGGCUCAACCUGGGAAUGGCAUUUGUGACUGUAGAGCUAGAGUACGGUAGAGGGGGAUGGAAUUCCGCGUGUAGCAGUGAAAUGCGUAGAUAUGCGGAGGAACACCGAUGGCGAAGGCAAUCCCCUGGACCUGUACUGACGCCAAUGAACAAAAGGGUGGGGAGAAAACAGAAUAAGAUACCGGGUAGUCC
Molecule: ribosomal RNA, 272 nt
Filed under: uncultured bacterium
Lineage: Bacteria
Description: partial 16S ribosomal RNA
Rfam family: Bacterial small subunit ribosomal RNA
Source: RNAcentral